Molecule: ribosomal RNA, 218 nt
Filed under: uncultured bacterium
Lineage: Bacteria
Description: partial 16S ribosomal RNA
Rfam family: Bacterial small subunit ribosomal RNA
Source: RNAcentral
GGUCUCAGUUCGGAUCGGAGUCUGCAACCCGACUCCGUGAAGCUGGAUUCGCUAGUAAUCGCGAAUCAGCAUGUCGCGGUGAAUACGUUCCCGGGCCUUGUACACACCGCCCGUCACACCAUGAGAGUUGGCAAUACCCAACGUACGUGAUCUAACCCGCAAGGGAGGAAGCGUCCUAAGGUAGGGUCAGCGAUUGGGUGAAGUCGUAACAAGGUACC